CAGUCCUGUGGAUACCAGGACCUUAUGACUCCUUGACUCUGGUCUGCCCAACCAUGUGACUUCUUGAUACAAAACCAUGCGACUUCAGCUGGAUACAAGAACUCAGCUUCUUUGGGCUUCCGUUGUAGAUGGAAGAUGAGCAGCUUUCCAGGAAUCCUCCAGAUUUUCAAUACCAGGACCAGAGAGAGGGAGAAAGAGUGAACAGAAGAGACCUGAUGCAGCCUGGCACUCUUAGAGCAGGAUGGCCCUAGAUGCCGCACCCAGACGGCACUGAAGAGGCAAGAGCUGCAGUCAGCAGGACAGUGUGGAGGCCAUGCUGGCAAUCUGCGCCAGGACCAGGGUUUGCAGCAGAUACGGAAGACAGCAAGUGGCCCAAGCCAGUCGGUUCAGGAAAGCACUUGCUGUUGGUUGUAGGUCAUUUGCUGUUCAAGGAGGCUCAGGUGGGGGCAUUACACAAUCUUCCGCCUUACCUCAGAUGACAUCACAGUAAACACAGCAUUAUUUCACAUGCUGAUAAGACAGAAACACCGCCAACUUCUUUGUGUAGCCAUUCUUCCUAGGACAUGAACGUGCUCUUUCGAGCUUCUUACUGCUGGUGUUAGCAUGUCAGCUGUGAUCUGAACACAGUAAGCCCCGUGCCCACCCUGAGAUUGGAGAACAUUUACACAAAGGCAAACUUCCUACUGUGGCUUAGCGUUCAAGUCCUUGAGAAUCAGACCUGUUCAGGAGUUAGCACCUCAGCCACCUGGGGGAGGAUGCUUGUUCAUUGAGCCACAUUAUUCCCUACCUACAACCCUUGGAUGACUUCAGAAUUGCUGGAAGAUCAGCUCCUCACACCUCACAUGGUCCUGGGCCCUUUGAGGCUGGCCUGGCAUUCAGGGCCAUUUAUGGUACCUUACUGCCUCACCUUCCACAGGUACAAUAAAGGCCCUGCCAGAUCUCCAAUGAAUCAUGCUUUCUCUUUACCAACUGCCCUUGUGCAUUCUGUUCCCACCCUCAGAAAUGUCUUUCCCUAGGUAACUACUGCCAUUGCUGCAUACUCAAGUGUAGAGGAGAGUGUUCUCCCAAGGUUAGGGCCCUUUCUACCACAC
Molecule: long non-coding RNA, 1091 nt
Organism: Peromyscus eremicus (cactus mouse)
Lineage: Eukaryota; Metazoa; Chordata; Mammalia; Rodentia; Cricetidae
Exons: 3
Source: RefSeq, a predicted model, not a curated record